Molecule: ribosomal RNA, 455 nt
Filed under: uncultured bacterium
Lineage: Bacteria
Description: partial 16S ribosomal RNA
Rfam family: Bacterial small subunit ribosomal RNA
Source: RNAcentral
GUAGGGAAUCUUCCACAAUGGACGCAAGUCUGAUGGAGCAACGCCGCGUGAGUGAAGAAGGCUUUCGGGUCGUAAAACUCUGUUAUUGAAGAAGAACGUGUGUGACAGUAACUGGUCAUGCAGUGACGGUAUUCAAUCAGAAAGUCACGGCUAACUACGUGCCAGCAGCCGCGGUAAUACGUAGGUGGCAAGCGUUGUCCGGAUUUAUUGGGCGUAAAGCGAGUGCAGGCGGUCUUUUAAGUCUGAUGUGAAAGCCUUCGGCUUAACCGAAGAAGGGCAUCGGAAACUGGGAGACUUGAGUGCAGAAGAGGAGAGUGGAACUCCAUGUGUAGCGGUGAAAUGCGUAGAUAUAUGGAAGAACACCAGUGGCGAAGGCGGCUCUCUGGUCUGUAACUGACGCUGAGGCUCGAAAGCGUGGGUAGCAAACAGGAUUAGAUACCCUGGUAGUCCACGCC